UACGAAGGGUGCGAGCGUUGUUCGGAAUUAUUGGGCGUAAAGGGUUCGUAGGCUGGAAGCUAAGUCAAUUGUGAAAUCCCCGAGCUUAACUUGGGACGUGCAGUUGAAACUGGUUUUCUUGAGUAUUGGAGAGGGUGGUGGAAUUGCUGGUGUAGGAGUGACAUCCGUAGAGAUCAGCAGGAACACCAGAGGCGAAGGCGACCACCUGGCCAAGAACUGACGCUGAGGAACGAAAGCGUGGGGAGCAAACAGG
Molecule: ribosomal RNA, 253 nt
Filed under: uncultured bacterium
Lineage: Bacteria
Description: partial 16S ribosomal RNA
Rfam family: Bacterial small subunit ribosomal RNA
Source: RNAcentral